RNAcentral lists this ribosomal RNA (323 nucleotides) under bacterium enrichment culture clone ALO1_GLFRUDD03HI8YI. RNAcentral describes it as "bacterial SSU rRNA". It matches the Rfam family "Bacterial small subunit ribosomal RNA", at positions 9 to 330 of the family's 1533-position model. The record is from RNAcentral.
GAGUUUGAUCGUGGCUCAGAUUGAACGCUGGCGGCAUGCCUUACACAUGCAAGUCGAACGGCAGCACGGGAGCUUGCUCCUGGUGGCGAGUGGCGAACCGGGUGAGUAAUGCAUCGGAACGUAUCCUGGAGUGGGGGAUAACGUAGCGAAAGUUACGCUAAUACCGCAUAUUCUGUGAGCAGGAAAGCGGGGGACCUUCGGGCCUCGCGCUCUUGGAGCGGCCGAUGUCGGAUUAGCUAAGUUGGUGAGGUAAAGGCUCACCAAGGCGACGAUCCGUAGCAGGUCUGAGAGGAUGAUCUGCCACACUGGAACUGAGACACGGU